RNAcentral lists this ribosomal RNA (102 nucleotides) under Periophthalmus magnuspinnatus. Lineage: Eukaryota; Metazoa; Chordata; Actinopteri; Gobiiformes; Gobiidae. The record is from RNAcentral.
UGUGGUUGUAAAUGCCUAAUCUUGUCUCACCUCUGAAGCUACGCAGGGCUGGGCGUGGUUAGUACUUGGACGGGAGACCGCUGGGAAUACAAGGUGCCACAG